AGUCUUAUGAUUUCUAUAUAAGAUAAUUUCUGCCCAAUGAUUUUUUUAAUGGCCGCAGUACUUUGACUGUGCUAAGGUAGCAUAAUAAAUUGGCUUUUAAAUGAGGUCUAGAAUGAAUGAAUUUUUGGGUAAUAAUUGUCUCUAAUUAAUUUAAAUAAAAUUGAUUUAUUAAGUGAAAAGACUUAAAAAAUUUUAGAAAGACGAGAAGACCCUUAGAAUUUUAAAAAUUCAUAAAAUAAUUUAUGUUUUAUUUUGUUGGGGUGACAUAUUAACAUUUUUAACUUAUUUUUUUACAAGACGAUUAUUUUAGGAGCGAAAAAAUUACCUUAGGGAUAACAGCAUAAUUUUCUUUUAAGAUUAUGACCUCGAUGUUGGACUAGGGACUUAUUUAAUUAGUAAUUAAAUAAGAUAGUUCUGUUCGAACUUUUUUCUCCU
This 435-nucleotide ribosomal RNA is filed under the name Gulella princei. RNAcentral's name for it is "partial 16S ribosomal RNA". Lineage: Eukaryota; Metazoa; Mollusca; Gastropoda; Stylommatophora; Streptaxidae. The record is from RNAcentral.